RNAcentral lists this ribosomal RNA (429 nucleotides) under Acidobacteriota bacterium. RNAcentral describes it as "Acidobacteria bacterium partial 16S ribosomal RNA". It matches the Rfam family "Bacterial small subunit ribosomal RNA", at positions 355 to 776 of the family's 1533-position model. The record is from RNAcentral. Lineage: Bacteria; Pseudomonadati; Acidobacteriota.
UGGGGAAUUUUGGACAAUGGGGGAAACCCUGAUCCAGCCAUCCCGCGUGUGCGAUGAAGGCCUUCAGGUUGUAAAGCACUUUUGGCAGGAAAGAAACGUCAUGGGUUAAUACCCCGUGAAACUGACGGUACCUGCAGAAUAAGCACCGGCUAACUACGUGCCAGCAGCCGCGGUAAUACGUAGGGUGCAAGCGUUAAUCGGAAUUACUGGGCGUAAAGCGUGCGCAGGCGGUUCGGAAAGAAAGAUGUGAAAUCCCAGAGCUCAACUUUGGAACUGCAUUUUUAACUACCGGGCUAGAGUGUGUCAGAGGGAGGUGGAAUUCCGCGUGUAGCAGUGAAAUGCGUAGAUAUGCGGAGGAACACCGAUGGCGAAGGCAGCCUCCUGGGAUAACACUGACGCUCAUGCACGAAAGCGUGGGGAGCAAACAGG